Molecule: non-coding RNA, 153 nt
Organism: Labrus bergylta (ballan wrasse)
Lineage: Eukaryota; Metazoa; Chordata; Actinopteri; Labriformes; Labridae
Source: RefSeq, a predicted model, not a curated record
UUGUGAAUGAGGAGUGCAAGCAAGGCUGUAGAGCAACAGGAAGAAGAUUUGCCAAAAUUAGAAAUAUCACAGCCAAUUUCAGGCUCCAAAAAAUACAACAUGGCGGUGGCGAAAUUCAAAGCAUUGGUCCGCAAACCACUUGGCAAUGCCAUG